Molecule: ribosomal RNA, 207 nt
Filed under: uncultured bacterium
Lineage: Bacteria
Description: partial 16S ribosomal RNA
Rfam family: Bacterial small subunit ribosomal RNA
Source: RNAcentral
CGUGCAGGUGGUUUGGUAAGUUGGGUAUGAAAUCUCCUGGCUUAACUAGGAGAGGUUGCUCAAAACUGCCAGACUAGAGGACGAUAGAGGAAGGUGGAAUUCCCGGUGUAGUAGUGAAAUGCGUAGAUAUCGGGAGGAACACCAGUGGCGAAGGCGGCCUUCUGGGUCGUUCCUGACACUAAGACGCGAAAGCAUGGGUAGCAAACG